UAGGGAAUCUUCCACAAUGGACGCAAGUCUGAUGGAGCAACGCCGCGUGGGUGAAGAAGGGUUUCGGCUCGUAAAGCUCUGUUGUUAAAGAAGAACGUGGGUAAGAGUAACUGUUUACCCAGUGACGGUAUUUAACCAGAAAGCCACGGCUAACUACGUGUCAG
RNAcentral lists this ribosomal RNA (164 nucleotides) under uncultured bacterium. Its description in RNAcentral is "partial 16S ribosomal RNA". It matches the Rfam family "Bacterial small subunit ribosomal RNA", at positions 355 to 511 of the family's 1533-position model. The record is from RNAcentral.